AACCUUUACACUGCACGACAGUGCGAUAAGGGAAUCCCAAGUGCGUAGGCAUAGAGCCUACGCUUUUGUCUACCGUAGGGAGGUAGACGAAUAAGGGCUGGGCAAGACCGGUGCCAGCCGCCGCGGUAAUACCGGCAGCCCGGGUGAUGGCCGAUCUUAUUGGGCCUAAAGCGUCCGUAGCUGGCCGCGCAAGUCUAUCGGAAAAUCCACCCGCUCAACGGGUGGGCGUCCGGUAGAAACUGCGUGGCUUGGGACCGGAAGGCGCGACGGGUACGUCCGGGGUAGGAGUGAAAUCCUGUAAUCCUGGACGGACCGCCGAUGGCGAAAGCACGUCGCGAAGACGGAUCCGACAGUGAGGGACGAAAGCUAGGGUCUCGAACCGGAUUAGAUACCCGGGUAGUCCUAGCCGUAAACAAUGCCUGUUAGGUGUGGCUCCCACUACGAGUGGGUGCUGUGCCGUAGGGAAGCCGCUAAACAGGCCGCCUGGGAAGUACGUCCGCAAGGAUGAAACUUAAAGGAAUUGGCGGGGGAG
Molecule: ribosomal RNA, 532 nt
Filed under: uncultured archaeon
Lineage: Archaea
Description: bacterial SSU rRNA
Rfam family: Archaeal small subunit ribosomal RNA
Source: RNAcentral